UGGGGAAUAUUGGACAAUGGGCGCAAGCCUGAUCCAGCCAUGCCGCGUGAGUGAUGAAGGCCCUAGGGUUGUAAAGCUCUUUCACCGGAGAAGAUAAUGACGGUAUCCGGAGAAGAAGCCCCGGCUAACUUCGUGCCAGCAGCCGCGGUAAUACGAAGGGGGCUAGCGUUGUUCGGAAUUACUGGGCGUAAAGCGCACGUAGGCGGAUAUUUAAGUCAGGGGUGAAAUCCCGGGGCUCAACCCCGGAACUGCCUUUGAUACUGGGUAUCUGGAGUAUGGAAGAGGUGAGUGGAAUUCCGAGUGUAGAGGUGAAAUUCGUAGAUAUUCGGAGGAACACCAGUGGCGAAGGCGGCUCACUGGUCCAUUACUGACGCUGAGGUGCGAAAGCGUGGGGAGCAAACA
This 402-nucleotide ribosomal RNA is filed under the name uncultured prokaryote. RNAcentral describes it as "bacterial SSU rRNA". It matches the Rfam family "Bacterial small subunit ribosomal RNA", at positions 355 to 774 of the family's 1533-position model. The record is from RNAcentral.